Molecule: non-coding RNA, 2173 nt
Organism: Tetranychus urticae (two-spotted spider mite)
Lineage: Eukaryota; Metazoa; Arthropoda; Arachnida; Trombidiformes; Tetranychidae
Source: RefSeq, a predicted model, not a curated record
ACUGAUAUUGCUAAGGAAUUGUCUAGCAUUUCCGUUUACAAAGGUAAGAUUAUUAAUUUACUUUCACUUACCUAUCAGUUUCCGGUAAUUAAUUCAACAUUUCAUUAGACUGUGAAUUACCUCAAUGGGGGAGAGUUUAAUGUAGUGAAACAAUUAAUAGCUUCAUCAAAGUGAACAUUUAAUGAACGGUAAAAGCAUUUCAUUUACAUUCACAAUUGCCUUUUGAUGAGGUUUACAUAAUAUUUCAGUGUUCACAUCACUCCAGUCAGUUUUCAUGGACAAUUUGAUAGUUCAGACAUCUAUUUGACUAGCAAUCUAAUUGAUCAACUGCCAUAAAAUCUGACUAAAAUCAAAUUGUUGUUAAUUUUUGUUAAACUUGAACAUCGCGCUCUUUACCCUUUUAACGCUUCCCAUUUUGUUUUCCCCCUUAGCAUGACUUGCCAUUUGACCGGUUAACGUCUUUAAGCUUUACGGUUAUUUUAUGUUAAAUUUAUACUAAUUGUUAAGCAAUUAUGCUUCCAAUGUUAAUAAUUUUCUAUGUUGAUUAAUAGUUCCUGUGUUAAGUGUGGUCGGUUCAUUUACUGAAAAUAUCUGUUCUGAAAUUGUUUAUUAAUAGUGUUCAAUGAAAGGUUUCUGGUGUAACUGUAAUGCCUUUUGUUUUUUCUUAUAUUCAAUGGAUCUUACAUUCUGGACUUUGAGGACUUUAUUUUGAAAUUGUUUAUGGUUUUAACAAGCAUGUUGUAGUUGAAAGUCACCAAGAAGAGCUCAUCAUGAAGGAAACAAGAAAAAUGUCUAACUCAAUGAAAGUAAAUGUCAUUUAUUAUCAUAAUGACGAUCAAGAUAUAACCGAUAACCAAGUUAGAUGAUGCCACCGACAUGUUCCCAAUGUUAAAAGUUAAAAGUAAUUAACAUCUCAAUCGUAUUCUGUUUACCUGAUUGUUAUUUUAUUACCUUAGGUACUGACUACUUUACUAACUGGAAUCACACGGUUAAAAGCUAAAGAAAGAAAGAGAAACCUAAAGCGUUGUCAAAGUCAAGCCUUUUUUGCCAAAAAUGUAUACCAAUGGUGGAAACCUUAUCGGCAAAAGUAAACAACUUUGUCCAAUAAAGUCUAAACAAGAACAAUGUUCUGUUACCCGUUAGCAAAAUAAAGCUUAUCUUUAAAGCGUGGAGAAAAAUCUUGUAUCUGGUUAACGAAAUCAAACAACAAGGAAACAAGAAGCACUUCGUCUUGUUGUGACAGUCAUGUUUCAUUUUUUGACUCUUGAUUAUUCCAACACGUCUAUUUCAACCUGAUUACCAUCUGAUAAAAAGUUGCUACAUUGAAAUUUUGGUUUUACCCUUUGAUUCAAGCAAUUUGCUACGUUGUAUCCGAUUAGAUAUUGACUGAACAAUUGUGCAAACAUAAGGAGAAGGUGAAGAGGAUUAAUCUCUGUUGUCAACAAGAACUUGAAUCAAAAGCAAACCAGAUUAACUCUUAUUGAAUGUGAAAUCAAAAUUAUCGAUGUAAAAAAUCAUUUGGUCGAUAAAGUGCGGAGGCAUGAAAAUGCAUUAGCAUUCAAACACCAAUCAUACCAAAAUUGAAUGAUUACUUAGCUGACGAUGAUCAUGAAGAUGAUACCAAACCAAAAGUGGAAGAGUUAAUAAUUUUCAACAUCUUCACAAUGAUUAUUAAUAGAAAUCUUGAAAAUAAUUGACUUACUUUUGUCUUUUCAGUGCUAAGUCUUUUCACUUGACAAGUUCAAAAAACUAAAUUGUAAAAGUUGUUCAAAAAAAGGAAAUCAAAUCAUGUUAACCGAUGUUUUCUGACUCUACUUACGCUCUGUAUUAAUUGUUGAUGUAACAGGAAUCAGGUUAAGAAUCAUGUAACAUUGCUAAUUGAUAAUCCUGUAUUUGAAGAGGGAUUAAAUUAACGAUUUAGAAGCGAAUUAAUUAGAUUAAAUAAUGUUGUUCCAAUCAUCUUUAAAAUUGUAUUUGACGGUUGAUUAUCCCUAAAGGGGGUAAAGCCUAUAAGGUGUAAGUGUUACCUGAGUUUUGGGUUGUAAUAAAAUAUAAACUGUUGAACAUUGGAACGAGUAAUUAUUUUAAAAUUUGAAAUAUAUUUUACAUGAAAAGGGAUUGUUAAUCUUGUCAAUCAACUGUUGUAGAUGUUGUUUCAAUUAAAAAUGCUUUA